This 1000-nucleotide long non-coding RNA is filed under the name Macaca mulatta (Rhesus monkey). RNAcentral's name for it is "lncRNA (ENSMMUG00000060010.1)". Lineage: Eukaryota; Metazoa; Chordata; Mammalia; Primates; Cercopithecidae. The record is from RNAcentral.
CUUAACUUUACAAAUGAUGCUGAAAUGAAAUCCACAGUCAGUGUCUCUUACCACAUCUAUACUUGUUUCCACAGGUGGACUUGCUGCAGAAUAGCCUUCAAUGCACAGACCUGGCUUAGCUUUUCCUCUCUAGACUAUUUGGAAUCAAGGCAAACUUCUUGUCUGAAUGCAUGUGAAGGCAGUAAGGGUAUUGGAAUGUUAUUGAAAAUUAUUUGCUGCCUCUCUCUGGAUGUGACUUGGCCCAGCUCAGUGCAGGCUCCGUGAUCUCUCACUGAGAUGGGUAUUGAAGAACGCAAGAUGGCAACUGUAGCCCCAAGGCAGGAAACCACUCAACAUUUUAAUGAGAAAGGCAACUUUACUGAAAAUUUCCCACUCUCUGACCUGGGAUGGGGUGCUGAACAUCUGAAUAGCACACCAAAGGAAGUCUUAAAAUGAUAAUUAAAAAAUAAUAUUUGAAUGACAUCAUACAUUUAUAAAGUACAUUCCUACUGUCAAUCUCAUUUUAUUAUACCUUCACCUAUAGAGAGCUUUACAGGUUUGAUUUUAAUAUCAUUUAAUCAUGUGAACAACUCAAAUUGGUAGAUUUCUUACCCUCAUUUUACAAUGAGAUUGGAAUUGACAUUCUGAUUAUUCUUACUUUACAGAUGAUAAAACAGGUUUAAAAAGACAAUUGAGUACCCCAUUGAAGGGUACUCUGGGACAAACCAAAUUCCUAGUUCAGGGUCAACUUCACUAUGACAAUGAGUUGUAUGGGAACUUGACCAGGUGUAAAAGUGAGCGAUUUAACUUAGAUAUUAAGUACCCAGCUCUGGAAAUUAAACAGUAAUAUGCACGCCUCAAAUAAACUUAGAAUCAAGUGUGCAUUCUCUAGAAUACAGUGGUGGAGUUAAUAUCUGAGAUAUGUAUAACUGCUCUCCAUAGCACUCAGGCCAAUGACAUUUUAAUAGAUCUUAGACACUACUGCCUUGUCAUCUGUUGGGUGUUGAGAUCUGGACUUUGG